This 394-nucleotide ribosomal RNA is filed under the name uncultured bacterium. RNAcentral describes it as "bacterial SSU rRNA". It matches the Rfam family "Bacterial small subunit ribosomal RNA", at positions 29 to 418 of the family's 1533-position model. The record is from RNAcentral.
AUUGAACGCUGGCGGCAUGCCUUACACAUGCAAGUCGAACGGCAGCACGGGAGCAAUCCUGGUGGCGAGUGGCGAACGGGUGAGUAAUAUAUCGGAACGUGCCCAGUAGUGGGGGAGUAACCCGGCGAAGUACGGACUAAUACCGCAUACGACCUACGGGUGGAAAGACGGGGAGUCGCAAGACCUCGCGCUAUCGGAGCGGCCGAUAUCAGAUUAGCUUGUUGGUGGGGUAAAGGACCUACCAAGGCGACGAUCUGUAGCUGGUCUGAGAGGACGACCAGCCACACUGGGACUGAGACACGGCCCAGACUCCUACGGGAGGCAGCAGUGGGGAAGUUUUGGACAAUGGGCGGCAAGCCUGAUCCAGCCAUGCCGCGUGCGGGAAGAAGGCCUC